GAUGAACGCUGGCGGCGUGCCUAAUACAUGCAAGUCGAGCGAACGGACGAGAAGCUUGCUUCUCUGAUGUUAGCGGCGGACGGGUGAGUAACACGUGGAUAACCUACCUAUAAGACUGGGAUAACUUCGGGAAACCGGAGCUAAUACCGGAUAAUAUUAUGAACCGCAUGGUUCAAAAGUGAAAGACGGUCUUGCUGUCACUUAUAGAUGGAUCCGCGCUGCAUUAGCUAGUUGGUAAGGUAACGGCUUACCAAGGCAACGAUGCAUAGCCGACCUAAGAGGGUGAUCGGCCACACUGGAACUGAGACACGGUCCAGACUCCUACGGGAGGCAGCAGUAGGGAAUCUUCCGCAAUGGGCGAAAGCCUGACGGAGCAACGCCGCGUGAGUGAUGAAGGUCUUCGGAUCGUAAAACUCUGUUAUUAGGGAAGAACAUAUGUGUAAGUAACUGUGCACAUCUUGACGGUACCUAAUCAGAAAGCCACGGCUAACUACGUG
RNAcentral lists this ribosomal RNA (497 nucleotides) under uncultured bacterium. RNAcentral describes it as "partial 16S ribosomal RNA". It matches the Rfam family "Bacterial small subunit ribosomal RNA", at positions 28 to 507 of the family's 1533-position model. The record is from RNAcentral.